AACUGCGAAUACCGGAGAAUGUUAUCACGGGAGACACACGGCGGGUGCUAACGUCCGUCGUGAAGAGGGAAACAACCCAGACCGCCAGCUAAGGUCCCAAAGUCAUGGUUAAGUGGGAAACGAUGUGGGAAGGCCCAGACAGCCAGGAUGUUGGCUUAGAAGCAGCCAUCAUUUAAAGAAAGCGUAAUAGCUCACUGGUCGAGUCGGCCUGCGCGGAAGAUGUAACGGGGCUAAACCAUGCACCGAAGCUGCGGCAGCGAUGCUUAUGCGUUGUUGGGUAGGGGAGCGUUCUGUAAGCCUGCGAAGGUGUGCUGUGAGGCAUGCUGGAGGUAUCAGAAGUGCGAAUGCUGACAUAAGUAACGAUAAAGCGGGUGAAAAGCCCGCUCGCCGGAAGACCAAGGGUUCCUGUCCAACGUUAAUCGGGGCAGGGUGAGUCGACCCCUAAGGCGAGGCCGAAAGGCGUAGUCGAUGGGAAACAGGUUAAUAUUCCUGUACUUGGUGUUACUGCGAAGGGGGGACGGAGAAGGCUAUGUUGGCCGGGCGACGGUUGUCCCGGUUUAAGCGUGUAGGCUGGUUUUCCAGGCAAAUCCGGAAAAUCAAGGCUGAGGCGUGAUGACGAGGCACUACGGUGCUGAAGCAACAAAUGCCCUGCUUCCAGGAAAAGCCUCUAAGCAUCAGGUAACAUCAAAUCGUACCCCAAACCGACACAGGUGGUCAGGUAGAGAAUACCAAGGCGCUUGAGAGAACUCGGGUGAAGGAACUAGGCAAAAUGGUGCCGUAACUUCGGGAGAAGGCACGCUGAUAUGUAGGUGAAGUCCCUUGCGGAUGGAGCUGAAAUCAGUCGAAGAUACCAGCUGGCUGCAACUGUUUAUUAAAAACACAGCACUGUGCAAACACGAAAGUGGACGUAUACGGUGUGACGCCUGCCCGGUGCCGGAAGGUUAAUUGAUGGGGUCAGCGCAAGCGAAGCUCUUGAUCGAAGCCCCGGUAAACGGCGGCCGUAACUAUAACGGUCCUAAGGUAGCGAAAUUCCUUGUCGGGUAAGUUCCGACCUGCACGAAUGGCGUAAUGAUGGCCAGGCUGUCUCCACCCGAGACUCAGUGAAAUUGAACUCGCUGUGAAGAUGCAGUGUACCCGCGGCAAGACGGAAAGACCCCGUGAACCUUUACUAUAGCUUGACACUGAACAUUGAGCCUUGAUGUGUAGGAUAGGUGGGAGGCUUUGAAGUGUGGACGCCAGUCUGCAUGGAGCCGGCCUUGAAAUACCACCCUUUAAUGUUUGAUGUUCUAACGUGGACCCGUGAUCCGGGUUGCGGACAGUGUCUGGUGGGUAGUUUGACUGGGGCGGUCUCCUCCUAAAGAGUAACGGAGGAGCACGAAGGUUGGCUAAUCCUGGUCGGACAUCAGGAGGUUAGUGCAAUGGCAUAAGCCAGCUUGACUGCGAGCGUGACGGCGCGAGCAGGUGCGAAAGCAGGUCAUAGUGAUCCGGUGGUUCUGAAUGGAAGGGCCAUCGCUCAACGGAUAAAAGGUACUCCGGGGAUAACAGGCUGAUACCGCCCAAGAGUUCAUAUCGACGGCGGUGUUUGGCACCUCGAUGUCGGCUCAUCACAUCCUGGGGCUGAAGUAGGUCCCAAGGGUAUGGCUGUUCGCCAUUUAAAGUGGUACGCGAGCUGGGUUUAGAACGUCGUGAGACAGUUCGGUCCCUAUCUGCCGUGGGCGCUGGAGAACUGAGGGGGGCUGCUCCUAGUACGAGAGGACCGGAGUGGACGCAUCACUGGUGUUCGGGUUGUCAUGCCAAUGGCACUGCCCGGUAGCUAAAUGCGGAAGAGAUAAGUGCUGAAAGCAUCUAAGCACGAAACUUGCCCCGAGAUGAGUUCUCCCUGACCCUUUAAGGGUCCUGAAGGAACGUUGAAGACGACGACGUUGAUAGGCCGGGUGUGUAAGCGCAGCGAUGCGUUGAGCUAACCGGUACUAAUGAACCGUGAGG
RNAcentral lists this ribosomal RNA (1986 nucleotides) under Shigella sonnei. Its description in RNAcentral is "partial 23S ribosomal RNA". It matches the Rfam family "Bacterial large subunit ribosomal RNA", at positions 952 to 2915 of the family's 2925-position model. Lineage: Bacteria; Pseudomonadati; Pseudomonadota; Gammaproteobacteria; Enterobacterales; Enterobacteriaceae. The record is from RNAcentral.